UUAAAUUUGUAAGGGCGUAUGGUGGAUGCCUUGGCAUUAGAAGCUGAUGAAGGACGUGACUAACUACGAUAUGCUUCGGGGAGAUGUACGUAAUCUUUGAUCCGGAGAUUUCCGAAUGGGGGAACCCACUAGUGGUAAUGCACUAGUAUCACAUAAUGAAUAUAUAGUUAUGUAGAAAGCAACCCAGUGAACUGAAACAUCUUAGUAACUGGAGGAAAAGAAAGAAAAAUCGAUUUCCUUAGUAGUGGCGAGCGAAACGGAAAGAGCCCAAACUGACUUUAGAGUCGGGGUUGUAGGACCUCUACUUAAGAGUUACAAAUUCACAAUAUAGUUGAACUAUUCUGGAAAGUUUGGCAAAACAAGGUGAUAGCCCUGUAAACGAAAUAUUGUGAACUCUUUGAGGUAUCCUGAGUACAACGAGACACGUGGAAUCUUGUUGGAAUCUGCGGGGACCAUCCCGCAAGGCUAAAUACUCUCUAAUGACCGAUAGUGAACAAGUACCGUGAGGGAAAGGUGAAAAGAACCCCGGGAGGGGAGUGAAAUAGAAACUGAAACCGUAUGCUUACAAAAAGUUCGAGCACAUUAAUGUGUGAGAGCGUGCCUUUUGCAGAAUGAACCGGCGAGUUAUUGUAUUAUGCAAGGUUAAGUCGAACAGAUGGAGCCGAAGCGAAAGCAAGUCUGAAUAGGGCGCUUUAGUAUGAUGCAAUAGACCCGAAACCGAGUGAUCUAGCCAUGAGCAGGUUGAAGUUGGGGUAAGACCCAAUGGAGGACCGAACCGAUAUGCCCGGAAACGCGUACGGAUGACUUGUGGUUAGCGGAGAAAUUCCAAACGAACUCGGAGAUAGCUGGUUCUCCCCGAAAUAGGUUUAGGCCUAGCCUUGAUUGAAUCUGCCCGGAGGUAGAGCACUGAAUGUGCGAUGGCGUCGUCUAGAUGUACUGAGUACAAUCAAACUCCGAAUGCUGGGUAGUACUAAUCAGGAGUCACUGUAUGGGUGAUAACGUCCAUACGGGAGAGGAAAAGAAUCCGGAUCGCCAGCUAAGGUCCCAAAAUUUGUGUUAAGUGGGAAAGGAUGUAGAGUUGUCAAAACAGCUAGGAGGUUGGCUUAGAAGCAGCCACCCUUUAAAGAGUGCGUAAUAGCUCACUAGUCGAGUGACACUGCGCCGAAGAUGUACCGGGGCUAAACACAAUACCGAAGCUGCGGACUUGCAUGUAAGUGCAAGUGGUAGGGGAGCGUUCUAAGGGCUGUGAAGGUAGACCGUAAGGACUGCUGGAGCGCUUAGAAGUGAGAAUGCCGGUGUGAGUAACGAAAAUUGGGUGAGAAUCCCAUUCACCGUUUGACUAAGGUUUCCUGGGUAAAGUUCGUCUUCCCAGGGUUAGUCAGGGCCUAAGAUGAGGCUGAAAAGCGUAGUCGAUGGACAACAGGUUUAUAUUCCUGUACCACCUAUGUAACUGAUGGAGUGACGGAGAAAGCUAAUGAGAGCCAGUUAUUGGAUUCUGGUCUAAGUGCGUAGGCUAGUAUGUUGGGAAAUCCGCAAUACUAUUACAGCUGAAACAUGAUGGGGAAGUGAUCCUUCGGGUGAGCAAACUUUCAUGAUGCUACGCUUCCAAGAAAAGCUUCUAGGGCUAAUUGCAUAGGUGCCUGUACCGACAACCGACACAGGUGGUCAAGGAGAGUAUCCUAAGGUGAGCGAGAGAACUAUGGUUAAGGAACUCGGCAAAAUGACCCCGUAACUUCGGGAGAAGGGGUGGUCUAGCGAUAGACCCGCAGUGAAUAGGCCCAGGCAACUGUUUACCAAAAACACAGGUCUCUGCUAACACGUAAGUGGAUGUAUAGGGGCUGACGCCUGCCCAGUGCUGGAAGGUUAAAGAGAUUAGUUAGUAUGACGUAAGUCGAUAAUACGAAGCUUUGAACUGAAGCCCCAGUGAACGGCGGCCGUAACUAUAACGGUCCUAAGGUAGCGAAAUUCCUUGUCAGGUAAGUUCUG
RNAcentral lists this ribosomal RNA (1986 nucleotides) under human gut metagenome. RNAcentral describes it as "bacterial LSU rRNA". It matches the Rfam family "Bacterial large subunit ribosomal RNA", at positions 1 to 1985 of the family's 2925-position model. The record is from RNAcentral.